This is a long non-coding RNA of Drosophila guanche, 650 nucleotides long. RefSeq lists it as uncharacterized. Lineage: Eukaryota; Metazoa; Arthropoda; Insecta; Diptera; Drosophilidae. The transcript has 2 exons. The record is from RefSeq and is a predicted model, not a curated record.
AAAGCUGGAUAGCAGUACAACCUGCAAAAAAAAAAACAGAAACUGAUCCUCUGACGAAAAUGUACCUACAUUGAUUGUAGGCCUUAUCGUAGACCCAAUAGCGAUGAGAAAGGGUUCUUCUAAUUAAUAUAAUUAAAUACUAAUAUCAUAACCAACAUAGAACUGAAAUCUGCCUGCUCUUGGCAUGGUGUGUUAGUUUUGAGACCGGCAUAGCUUAACUAAUUGAUUGGAAAUUCCUGAAAAAUACCUUUGACUACACUCAAUAUGUUUCUUUAUAUAUCAUCAAAGCUAAAAACAUCUGGAUCUAAGUUGGAUUUAUCUUGUGGCAUUGAUGUUGAUGAACCCCUACAUGCCACGGUCCGUAUGGAAAGAUCUAUAGCAAACUUAGCAUCUCUCGGCUAUAUUAAUAAUUGGUAUCUUUAAUAAAUACAGUGCCAGCUAAUGUUUUAUGUGUUCAUGCAGAAAAGUGCAUUAGAGGAUCAGCCAUAAUAGCAGAGCCACGAAUUCCGUAAUUUUCAGUGUGAAUUUCCACUGAAUUUCUAUCUGAAAGUAUCUUUUAUAUUAUUUAUGAUUAUGAUUAACACAAAUCACGAAUGAAUUAUGAACAAAAUGCCAACUAAUUUCAUAAUACAAUAAUUUCACGAGCUGCA